Molecule: ribosomal RNA, 466 nt
Filed under: uncultured bacterium
Lineage: Bacteria
Description: bacterial SSU rRNA
Rfam family: Bacterial small subunit ribosomal RNA
Source: RNAcentral
UCCAGACUCCUACGGGAGGCAGCAGUGAGGAAUAUUGGUCAAUGGGCGGGAGCCUGAACCAGCCAAGCCGCGUGAAGGAAGAAGGCGCCAAGCGUCGUAAACUUCUUUUGUCGGGGAACAAAGGGCGCCACGUGUGGCGUUGUGAGUGUACCCGAAGAAAAAGCAUCGGCUAACUCCGUGCCAGCAGCCGCGGUAAUACGGAGGAUGCGAGCGUUAUCCGGAUUUAUUGGGUUUAAAGGGAGCGUAGGUGGAUUGUUAAGUCAGUUGUGAAAGUUUGCGGCUCAACCGUAAAAUUGCAGUUGAAACUGGCAGUCUUGAGUACAGUAGAGGUGGGCGGAAUUCGUGGUGUAGCGGUGAAAUGCUUAGAUAUCACGAAGAACUCCGAUUGCGAAGGCAGUUCACUGGACUGCAACUGACACUGAGGCUCGAAAGUGUGGGUAUCAAACAGGAUUAGAUACCCUGGUAA